GGUUCCUUGGUUUAAGUAGUAAGAACACCGUCCUAGUAAGACGGAAGUACUGGUGCAAGUCCAGUAGGAGCCAC
RNAcentral lists this transfer RNA (74 nucleotides) under Tupanvirus deep ocean. RNAcentral describes it as "tRNA-Thr". It matches the Rfam family "tRNA". From Rfam's summary of the family: Transfer RNA (tRNA) molecules are approximately 80 nucleotides in length. Their secondary structure includes four short double-helical elements and three loops (D, anti-codon, and T loops). Further hydrogen bonds mediate the characteristic L-shaped molecular structure. tRNAs have two regions of fundamental functional importance: the anti-codon, which is responsible for specific mRNA codon recognition, and the 3' end, to which the tRNAs corresponding amino acid is attached (by aminoacyl-tRNA synthetases). tRNAs cope with the degeneracy of the genetic code in two manners: having more than one tRNA (with a specific anti-codon) for a particular amino acid; and 'wobble' base-pairing, i.e. permitting non-standard base-pairing at the 3rd anti-codon position. RNAcentral also lists the same sequence under 1 other name. The record is from RNAcentral. Lineage: Varidnaviria; Bamfordvirae; Nucleocytoviricota; Megaviricetes; Imitervirales; Mimiviridae.